This 265-nucleotide ribosomal RNA is filed under the name uncultured bacterium. RNAcentral describes it as "partial 16S ribosomal RNA". It matches the Rfam family "Bacterial small subunit ribosomal RNA", at positions 524 to 792 of the family's 1533-position model. The record is from RNAcentral.
UACGUAGGGUGCAAGCGUUAAUCGGAAUUACUGGGCGUAAAGCGUGCGCAGGCGGUUGUGCAAGACAGAUGUGAAAUCCCCGGGCUUAACCUGGGAACUGCAUUCGUGACUGCACGGCUAGAGUGUGUCAGAGGGGGGUAGAAUUCCACGUGUAGCAGUGAAAUGCGUAGAGAUGUGGAGGAACACCGAUGGCGAAGGCAGCCCCCUGGGUCAACACUGACGCUCAUGCACGAAAGCGUGGGUAGCAAACAGGAUUAGAACCGUA